This 460-nucleotide ribosomal RNA is filed under the name uncultured bacterium. RNAcentral's name for it is "partial 16S ribosomal RNA". It matches the Rfam family "Bacterial small subunit ribosomal RNA", at positions 338 to 795 of the family's 1533-position model. The record is from RNAcentral.
CCUACGGGGGGCAGCAGUGAGGAAUAUUGGUCAAUGGGCUUACGCCUGAACCAGCCAAGUCGCGUGAGGGAAGACUGCCCUAUGGGUUGUAAACCUCUUUUGUCAGGGAGCAACGCCGGCUACGUGUAGCCGGACUGAGAGUACCUGAAGAAAAAGCAUCGGCUAACUCCGUGCCAGCAGCCGCGGUAAUACGGAGGAUGCGAGCGUUAUCCGGAUUUAUUGGGUUUAAAGGGUGCGUAGGCGGAAUGCCAAGUCAGCGGUAAAAGCGCGGGGUUCAACCGCGCUCCGCCGUUGAAACUGGCGUUCUUGAGUGGGCGAGAAGUAUGCGGAAUGCGUGGUGUAGCGGUGAAAUGCAUAGAUAUCACGCAGAACUCCGAUUGCGAAGGCAGCAUACCGGCGCGCAACUGACGCUGAAGCACGAAAGCGUGGGUAUCGAACAGGAUUAGAUACCCCUGUAGUC